AUACGGAGGAUGCGAGCGUUAUCCGGAUUUAUUGGGUUUAAAGGGAGCGUAGGUGGGAUAUUAAGUCAGCUGUGAAAGUUUGGGGCUCAACCUUAAAAUUGCAGUUGAUACUGGUUUCCUUGAGUACGGUACAGGUGGGCGGAAUUCGUUGUGUAGCGGUGAAAUGCUUAGAUAUCACGAAGAACUCCGAUCGCGAAGGCAGCUCACCGGGCCGGAACUGACACUGAUGCUCGAAAGUGCGGGUAUCAAACAGGAUUAGAUACCCUGGUAGUCCGCACAGUAAACGAUGAAUACUCGCUGUUUGCGAUACACGGUAAGCGGCCAAGCGAAAGCGUUAAGUAUUCCACCUGGGGAGUACGCCGGCAACGGUGAAACUCAAAUGAAUGGACGGGG
RNAcentral lists this ribosomal RNA (393 nucleotides) under uncultured bacterium. RNAcentral describes it as "partial 16S ribosomal RNA". It matches the Rfam family "Bacterial small subunit ribosomal RNA", at positions 523 to 918 of the family's 1533-position model. The record is from RNAcentral.